This 207-nucleotide long non-coding RNA is filed under the name Sorghum bicolor (sorghum). RNAcentral describes it as "long non-coding RNA (SBIC_LNC014750)". The record is from RNAcentral. Lineage: Eukaryota; Viridiplantae; Streptophyta; Magnoliopsida; Poales; Poaceae.
CAUGUGCCGCUGCGGCCCCUUGCCCUCGCCCGAGCAUACCGCCGCCACCACCUCCACUAUAGCCACCGCCCACCUAGGGCACCCCUGUCAUGCCUGUUACAAUAUAAUAGUAUUUUAGUAUUUUUAUAGAUACAAUGAGGAUCAAUGUAUUCACUUUGACGAUGGCCAUGGCGCCACCUCGACUAAUCCAUCUUGCACACUAGAACA